Quercus lobata is the source of this 511-nucleotide long non-coding RNA. RefSeq lists it as uncharacterized. The record is from RefSeq and is a predicted model, not a curated record. Lineage: Eukaryota; Viridiplantae; Streptophyta; Magnoliopsida; Fagales; Fagaceae. The transcript is spliced from 3 exons.
GUCUCCCAUGGCCAAAUAUCUUGUAUAUAAAAUAAAGAAUAUGAGAUAAGGAUAAGAUACCACAUAAAGUAACAAAGAAAAGGAAACAAACAAAGAAAGGAAGAGAAGCUGAAGAUGAAGAUGAAGAAGAUCAUAGUUGUAGUCAUGGUUUUAUGUGUGAUCCUUUCACAUAUGGACAGUGCUGAGGCUCAAUCACCCGACUGCUACGACCAGUGCUCCACUGGCUGUGUUCAAAGCGACACAAGGCUCAUGCAACGUUGUGAUCGCAAGUGCCAGAUCAAGUGCGGCCCAGAUUCUGAUAUUGAUGUGAAUCCAAGUUAAGCCUCCAAACGAAGGAAGAAUUAGCUAGUUUGGGGUGUACCCAAGAUGAAAACUAGUCAUCUUCUCAAGAUCUUCUUCUAUGUUGCAUGCAAAGUUAUAUGACUUUUGAUGCCUUUAAAAAUGUAACUGUUACUAUUUUUGUAGUUUUUUUUUAAUGUUAUUAAUUAUUGAAGUAUUUUAUUUAGUUUAA